CUGAAGAAACUAGAAAAAGACAAUUUCUGGAGAAAUUGCGGAGUGAAUGCUGGCUGCUGGAUGAAGAAGCCGAAGCAGUAUGAAGAGGAGGAAAGUUUCUAGGUUGAACAUGUGGAAGGAGCAGCAGAGGGCCCCAAUGGAUGGAUUACUGAACAGAACAACUGGGCACAGGGUCCUCAAGGCCAAGGGGUCGGCAGGGAGACAGGAUCAGAGCACAUCACAACAGCACAAUGACAAACGUCUGCAGCAAUGGAAACCAAACAUUAAAGCAAAGUGACAGCUCUGCACCGCUUGCCUUUUCAAAUCACCACCAAUGACCUAUGACGUGACUUCAUAUUUGCUCUGCAAGGGCGGCUCAGCAGCGUUGUGUGUUGUUGCCACAGAGGCAGCUGGCGUCACUGUUACCACUGACCUCCCACGAGCUGAGGCCUCAGGGACCCCAGGAGUCAUGGAAGCCAGCAGCACCACCCAUGAGACGCAGGCCCUGUGUCUGAUGUAACAACCUGAAAUCAGCAGACUUUGUCACUGCAUCCCAUAUGUAGACUUCUUAAAAUAAGGCCUCGGAAAUCUUUGACUGACCUUUUGUUUGAACAUGAACCUCCCUUCAUUGUUUUUCUAGCUGGGCUCCAUAGAGAUGAUCAGUCUUCAGUCUCAUAUUAAUCUUUCACUCUAAUUGUCUCUUGCUCUCUUCCUGCCAACCUGUUUGAAAAGCCUCAAGAUUAGGAUUUCUUCAAAUAACUUAGUGUCAAAAGACACUGAAAUCAGAGAAGAGUACUUCAACGGUGACAAAGGACAAUUCCAAACAGAUUGAACCCGUCUUAUUGAAGCCGGAAUUUAAUCUUGAUGUUUGUGCAAAUCGUACAGCAGACCUUUUGAUGAAAUAAAAAGCUGUGAUGCUACAUGUAGCUCCAUGCCCUUGGAUGUUCUGUCAUUUGUC
RNAcentral lists this long non-coding RNA (937 nucleotides) under Scophthalmus maximus (turbot). RNAcentral describes it as "lncRNA (ENSSMAG00000023053.1)". Lineage: Eukaryota; Metazoa; Chordata; Actinopteri; Pleuronectiformes; Scophthalmidae. The record is from RNAcentral.